RNAcentral lists this ribosomal RNA (292 nucleotides) under uncultured bacterium. RNAcentral's name for it is "partial 16S ribosomal RNA". It matches the Rfam family "Bacterial small subunit ribosomal RNA", at positions 29 to 334 of the family's 1533-position model. The record is from RNAcentral.
AGUGAACGCUGGCGGCGUGCUUAACACAUGCAAGUCGAACGAGAAAGUUUCUUCGGAAAUGAUUAAAGUGGCGAACGGGUGAGUAACGCGUAGGUUACAUGCCCCUUAGUUCGGGAUAAGCAUUGGAAACGAUGUCUAAUACCGGAUGUGAUCUUCGGAUUAAAGGCUUCGGCCGCUAAGGGAUUGGCUUGCGUCGUAUUAGCUUGUUGGUGAGGUAAUGGCUCACCAAGGCAACGAUCCGUAGCUGGUCUGAGAGGAUGAUCAGCCACACUGGGACUGAGACACGGCUCAG